GUUUCUCUUGCUAUGUUUUUAGGCUCACAGCUUUUUUUCUGUGGGUUUUAACCUGCUGUUAAUGUCAUUCAGUUUAAUUUUUAAGGUAUCAAACAUAUUUUUUCAUUUCUAGAAGUUUAGUUUGUAUCUUUCUAAUAUCUUCCAUAGCUCUAUUUAACUUUGAAAAUAUAUGAUAUACAACAGUGGCUGUUUAAUAUUCUCGUCAACUCUUUUUUUAAAUUUUAUUUUAAAGAGGAUAAAACCAAGAAAAAUAAAACAUAAUAAGGCCAAUCAAAACAAAACAAUGAAAGUGAUGCAAGACUUCAAAACAAGAUAAUAGGAAAUCAACAAUGACUACCAUCUUAUUAUCUUCAAAUAGCUGCUGAUACCAUCAGACAUAAUCAAAUCAAAUCAAACAAAACAAAACAGAAUAAAACCAAACCAAACAAAACAAAACAAUGAAAAUGAUACAGGAUUUCAAAAUAAGAUAAUAGGAAAUUAACAAUGACUACCAUAAUGCCUCUUGUUAUCUUCAAAGUAGUUGUCCAGACCCUCAGACAUAGGCAUGUAAAAUUAACCAGACUAUACAAGAACUAAGUUGUUGCUUUAAUUCAAUUCUCAUUUUUUCAGAAAUUUCAGGUGUGAGGCUUCUAAUUUCUACUAUGUCUGUGUCUGCUGAACUUGUUGUGUGUGGACCGGAGAUCUGAGAUUGUAUUUUACUUCUGCAUCUUGACUAUCCUUGUCAGUUUUAACAUCUGCUUCAGAUUUAGUUGGUUUCAGUUCAUUGAUAUUUUUACCAGUCAUAUUUUUCUGUUUCUUUGUUUUCCUAAGAAUUUCUUUGUUGUAAAUUAGACUCUGUGGACAUUUCCUUAUUUGGCAUUAGAUUUUAAAAAUUAUUAUUAUAAAAAUUCCUCAGCUUUGUUUUGGGAUGCAGUUAAAUUGCUCUGGGACUGAUUGUUUCAGGCUAAACUUCUUGAAAUUUGUAAGGCAAGACCAAAUCAGUAAUUAGUCUAGAGAUAAUAUUGUCCCACUAUUGAUCACUUUAUCCAAUGACCCAUGAAUUACCAGGUUUUCUACUGGGCUACUGGGAAUGGGCAGUUACCACUGCCCAGUAACUAUUCCUAGUCAUACGUGAGAAUUUGAUUCCAUUCAGCCUAAUAUUUUAGGAGUAUCCUUCCUUGGUUGGGGGCCGUUUUCUCAUCUGUACACGCUGAUCAAUAGUCCCAUGAAUACUUGAGACAAACCCUUUACAGAUCUGCAUGAGUACUCAAAAAAGAGCACCUCCUAAAGAUGCUGGUUAAAAACUUUAAAUCUGGCUGGGAUUAGGCAGUUAUGUUUAUUAUAUUUCACACAUAUGGCCUGUCACUACCAAUAAUCAGGAUAGGAUGGGGAUAGAUUGGCAGUUCCUGCAAAAUGCUUUGAAUGGACAAUAAGGUGUAUCAGCGGCCGUUUUGUGCUAGGGGAGAUUAUUAUUUAGGGAGGCAGUUUUCCUUUUCUUAUAUUUUAUUUGAUAUUAUUAUUAUUGUUAUUUUAGGUCUAGGGAUCAAACUCACGACCUUGCACUUGCCAGGCAGGUACUUAUAUUGCUGAACUAAAUUCCUGGCCCUUUGAUUAUAUUAAUUUAACUAACUUUUCUAGAAUGAAUAUAUUUUAUUUAUGCAUUAGAAAUAUUUUUAAAGUAGUCCGAAGACACCCACCAAGCAUCAUUAUUUGCACCACUCAUUCCAUUUUCUGGCUGCCUGCCUCUGAGUAACGGGGAGACACAGCCAGAGGUGUAGGCAUUGGGGCUUUCAAAGGCUUGUAUUUUAGUGUACAUGUAGGUCUUUCCUUACAGCACGACCAUGUGUGUCUCCUGCUGAGGUGCAGCUGUACCAUGUGUGUCUUUUCCUCUCUGGAUCACUGUGAAGAGCCUGGCCCCAGUCCUUUGGAACAAGGCGUUCUGGAUCAAUCUUAUUUCUUGUGCCUCAAUUCAUAUCCAGAUUUUCUUUUCAGAAUCCCACAGACUGAGCCCUUUACAGAUUUUUCUUCCUGUUAUUUGUACUGUGUGUUUCUACUUUAUGCUGUGUUUUCUCCAUAUUUGUGCCACUUAAAUUAGUCCUGUUUGAACUCCUCCUCUACUUGCUUUCUUAUCUUUUUGGUGGUGAAGGUGCCACUUACUUCUUCAACUGCCUUGGGCUCUAUUACUCCCCCAAUGUCACUUCUGUUGUGACUGGAGUCUGUUAUUGUCUUUACAUUGUUAAAAUUUUUUUUCCCCUUUUCUUCAGUGAGACGGUCUUGCCCUUGUUUCCCGUUCUUGCUGAUACUAAGCAACAGAAAAAACCUGAGACAGGGCUACCUGGUCCUCCUCUCCACGCCACCUUCUGCCAGCAUCGCUCCUGCAUUCCCAGGUGCUUUACUUAGUCUCUCUUUGCAUUUGUCACAUCCAAUCUGUGAUCCAGUUUCCAUGUUUUCACUUAUAUGUUAGAUUUGCUAGGACAGAGCUUAUGUUUCCCUGUGUUCAAUAAUAAGCUGUUGAAUAAAAUGAUGGACAGAAGAACGAAUGAUUUGUUGGUUAUUACCACCACAAACCAAAUUGUUGAUUCUUCACUUUUAUAUUAGCUCCUUGCAGCUGAUCCAACUGGUUCGGCAUGUUUGUUAUGAAUAUUUUUAUGUAGUUUGUCUUACCUCAUGCUCCAUACAGUUUUUGCUAUAUUUUAUCUGAUUAUAUUAAUUUACUAAUCUUACUAGAAUGAAUACAUUUACUUAGGCAUUAUAGAGAGUUUAAAAAUAAUCAGAAUAAAAUGAUAUCCACCAAACAUUACUAUUCCACUCAUUCCAUUUUCUGGCUGCCCGCAUCUGAGUUAUGGGAACACAUGGCCAUGCUCAUUAACAGGAAGCAUUGCUGCAUCUGGGGUUUCUAUCUACAUUUUUAUUACCAUGUGUUUUGAUGCAUUUCAUUAAAUAUUUUGGAAAUGGGGGACUUUUGCAUAGAAAAGAAUUUUUAUUUAUAGGUGUUGGAAUAGUAAAAUAUUUAAUUAGCUGGGUGUACUAGGUCACACCUAUAAUCCCAGUAUUUAGGAGGCUGAGCCAGGAGGAUUGCUGCAAGUUUGAAGCUAACCUGGGCUACAUAUUGAUGGCCUAUCUCAAAAAAGUUGGGGGGGAGCAGGUAUCUUGGGCUAGGGGUAGCGCAGAGCAAAGGUACAAAUUUGGGGGUUUAAUUCUCAGUACUGAAAACAAAUAUUUAGCAAAUUGAAAAUUUGAAGCUUUAAUUAUCUUAAGACUUUAAACUCAUUUUAUAAUUCUGAUUUUACUUAUAAAACAAAUUAUUUUAUAUAUGUCCUAAAAAUUCUUUCACUCAUUUUAUUAGUUCAAUUCUGGCAGAUUAAAAUCUGCUAGUUAUGGGAAUAAUCCAUUAAUUAAAUUCCUCUAAACUUUUAAAAACAUUUAUAAUUUAUUAAACAACUCAGAUGCCUGACAAGCAUCAAAAUCAAAAGAUUUGUAAGUCUAAAAAUUCAUCCCUAAAAGUGAAGUGGAUCAUAACAUUCAAAUUCCUUCUAUAAAUCUGAUUAAAUCAUCAAAACUUUGCAACAUAAACUGAAGACAGUAAAAUUGAUUAUAAAUUUGAAAUUGAAAUCAUGAGGUUAAACGUCACAUUGUUAGUUUUUCUUAAACUUUACAAAAAUUUUCAAUGCACAAAUUAUAUCUUGUGUUUCUAUAUGUAAUUCUAUUAAAUACUAUCAAUGCUACUAAGUAGUAUUAAUACCGUGGAUCUGAUUUAUAUUUGUGAUCUGAUUUACAGAUGUGAUCUUUAUGCUUAAUUUUAAGUCUUCCUGUCAUUGUAAAAUCACUCCCCAGUGGAAGGAAAGAGUUUCAACCCCCAGAUAUGGAUAAUAGUCCUUUCCUGUCUAGAAAGACGGUGACACAGUCUGAACUUCUGGGAUGAUUCCAGCCAAACCACAGACACUGAGUAGAGUUCUAUUUGCUGGCUGUGUUACACACUUGUCCUUUUGUUGGGACUUAUUUGUUGGGACUGGUAAACUGCCCAUUGAUCAUUAUAACUCCAGUACACCUUUCCCUGAAGCUAUUGGAACAUUUUAAAACACUUUUGAUGGACAGAAUCAUGUACUGCAUUUAGGCUGCCACACAGUGCCCUUAUCGCUUUAGAUUCUUCAUUUCUUUCACAGCUUUUAUAGUUGAUGGUGAGGUUAUAAAUUUAAAAAUUCAAUGAACUUAAAGCAGAAGUAGAAAAGAAAGUAAACUAUCUGCUCAAAUCAUUGGAAGUUUACAGCAAUUCACAGAUUCAGAGACAGCUGAAUCAAGAAAUUAAUACAAUCAAAUAGCAUUAGCAGGAAUCCAUCUCCACUCCCAUACCUCUGCCUCUGUUUCCCACUGUUUCCUCUGUCUCUAGGCUUUGGGUUAAUUCUUACUUUUAUUUCACAGGGUAGCAACAAAGCUCCAGGAAGCUCCAGAGUUUUAUGGUACUGACAGCUGGUAUGCUUGGAUUGUAUCUCUUCAUCUGGAUCACUCAACUGAUUCAUCACUGUUUAUUAUGAAUAUUUUUGUGUAUUUGCCUUACUCAUGCUCCAUGCAGUACACAUACUUCUUACUCCCUGCAGGGACUUCUGAUGCAUCUGGGGCUUCUGUAUCUAUAUGAUUUUUCUUACAAUGUGUGGUGAUGAGAAUAUUUUGAAAGUGAAGGGUACAAGUCCAUAUGCAUCCUGACCAGUAAAUUAGGUGUUCUGCUUGAACACUCCAGGUCACAAAUCAACCCUUGUAGAGGUGGAUGCAAGAUUCUUUGAUGAUAGACUCAAGAAAAUUUUGAAAGUUGUGGAGGGGCGGUUCUCUGCAAUAAGGGAUGCCAGACAGAUAAAUAAGUGGCAGAUGCCCUCUACAGUGUGGAAUAAAUUCAGAUAAUUUUAUGAGAUUCAUGUAUAGUGAGUCUUUUGCUGAGCCUGCUGCCAGCCAUAAACCUUGUCUGUCCCAAAUGGAAAAGCAUUUGGCAGCUGAUUGAAUUCGGUCUCGUCUUCUUUGGCACAGCACUAGCUCAUUUUUGUUUUGUUCAGUUCCAAAUCUGUCUUCUGCUUUUCCUGGAACCGCUAAUACAUUAUAGUCUUUAUCCAAGUCACACAAGGUCUCCUAUAUUUGCUUUUAAUGUGGGAUCCUCAUCAAGUUUUCCCAGAAUUCUUUCCUUUUUCCUAUAGAUACAUAUUCUGUUUCCCAGAUAAGCCAAAUUCUUAGGGAUCUGAGUUACUGAAAAGAUGUUCCUUUAGGCGUAUCUCAGUUUAUGCAAUAAAUGAGUUCCAAUUCAUUAUUUACAGUCAGUCACUUUUGAAAUGAAUCCUUAAAAGAUUUCCCAUCAAAAGAUCUUGUGGUUUUUUUUUUUUUUUUUUUUUUUUUUUGUCUUUUCCCUUUUUAUCGGUGAUCGAACUCACGACUGCCUGCUUGCAAGGCAGGCACUUAUGCCGCUGAGCUAAAUCCCCAGCCCCGAUCUUGUGUGUUUUUAAAAAAUAAUUAAUUUAUUUUGAUCAGAAAAUACAGAGCUGUCUCUGGUUCCUGAGCUUCCAGAGUGAUGAUGAAGACAAUAGACAUAUAUUAAGUUGGUACUGGUAUUGUGCUAGGGAUCUGUGUGUAGUAUAUUUUAACUGACAGUGUGGUGAGAGUCAUAUGCAAAUUCUAUUGUUAUAUAAAAUGAAAUAGGCUCAAAAGGUGACUGACCCAAUGUCAUGCACCCAGUAAGUGGACUAAAAUUUGAAACGAGGUCAUCCCAAUCCUGUUCUUUAUACUGGGAUUAGAACCAUGGAACCAUCACCUUCAUUUUCAUUUUCUUAUUUCUCCUCCCUUGUUUGACCAAUUUUUGUUUUCCUUUCCAGCCUGUUGCAAUCUUUUAUUCUUCUCCCUUAUCUCUUACUGGAAUCUCAUUUGCCUUUCCCACAUCAGCCUUUGGUUGAUGAGAUAGUUGUGGUAUCAGCUUAUUGAACUGUCUAAAUUCAUACUUCCACAGUGAGAGACAUUUGAUUCCUUUAAAAACCCUCGUAAGGAAAGGUAGGGGGUCUUUUCUCAUUUCACAUAUUAGAAAGUUAUACACAGAAAAUAAACAAGUAAGAAGACAUCUGGGGUCAGCUCUCUGUAUGAGAAAGAGGUGCUCAAGGCAUUGAAUAGGUCGUAUCCAAGCAGACGUUUGAAACCCAGAAAAGCAAGUAACAGGCCUGGUUCACUUAGACUACAUACCUAAGUCCUUUUGGUGGCCGGAUCCCCUUUCCUCUGUGUCCUCUUUAUAUUCUCUGGCAUGACUGUGGUGCCCAGGCUGCUCUUCCUACAGGCAAGCUUUCUCUGCCCAGGUUUUGCUCUUGCUGUUGCCUCUGCCUGAAGUCUCUCCCAAGAAUCCAGCCUGUCUUGUUCUUUAGGUCAUUCAUCAAAUGUACUCAUCAAAUUGUACUGAGACCUUUCUUAGAUACUGUAUUAAUUCUCAGUCCUACUUCUUCUGCAGUUCCAUUUUCCCUUUUGUAUUUUGCUUUUCUCCAAAAUAACUUAACACUUACUAAAUGAAUACUAUUACUUUUAAUUUUCCACUACAAUUAUGCUUCUCUAGGACAUGACUUUUACCUGAUUUUUUCACUGGUACACAGUCAAUGCUCAGUAAAUGUUCAUGGAAUGGAUGAGUGAGUAAGUAAAGACAUUUCUUCAUUCAUUUAUUCCAGAGACACUAGUCACAUGGAGGAUAAGCCAGGCCCUACCUCGUGUAUGAACCUCAGGAGGGAGGACAAUAAAAGCCCAUUGCCAAGUAGGAAAAUAAAUGUGCAGUCAGGUAUACAGUGUAAAGACUAGCAUAAAAUAGCUGUCCUGAUGGCUAUGCCAUUGGAAAAACCUAGUUUGAGACAUGGAAAGAUCUGUAAGCCAGGGUUGGUCAGGAAAACAAAGGUAAAAAAUUCUAGAGACAGAAGCCCUUCCCCCACUCCAGCUUCAGGUAUUGUUCAGGGACUCAGAAGGCAGCCUACAAGGUAGUUAAGGACCAAGCAGUAUGCCAGCUCUCAAUUUGUAUGCAACUUAUUUGCAUAUUUUGGAGUACAUUCUAUUAAUAUUCUGACACUAAUAUUGGAACACAAUCAUUUAAACUGCCUGCCAGUGCUUUAUGUCUAAUGCAGGAGCUCAGUCCAGGAGAAAAUUAGGUAACCAAAGGGAGUAACAUUACUCUCCCCUGAUUUUUAACAAUGUGCCACCUGACAUGGAAUGCUUUUCAGUCCAUUUGUUUGUUUGUUUGAAAUUCAAAUAAAAUCAUGGCUAGAAAAUGUCAAUUUAAAACCUCAGGAAAAGUCUUAAAUAAAGGAAAGGACUGUCACCAUCAAUGUCAAAUUAGAAAAUAAGUCAUUUUGGAAUGACUUUUAAAACUCAUACUGUCUCUAGUAGCAUUAUACAUUGCAUUAUGUGAAAGCACAGUCUGUACAAUGCACAAUAAUGCCACCGAGAUUAAAGGAGAAGAUAAUCCUGGAAACAGGUGACACUGACUUGCACGCUAAAGCUCCUGCAUGGGAAAGUCAAGGGUGUGGGCAAAGCUGUAGGCUGAAGGUCAGCAAGGCUCAGUUCUGUACUGCAAGUCCAUUUAGGGUAUAAGCUGUGGAAAGGCUGUAAAUUUUUGGUAACUUCAGAUUAAUUUUAUUGCAAUCUAGAAAAAUAAUCCAACCUUCACUUUAUUUGGAAAUUGACUACUUCUUCUAAAUGCAUUCUAUUUAGAACAUUUAUAUUAAUUCUAACUUUAAAAUCACAACUUUUCAGAUAAAUUAACCAAUAGAUUAUAAGGCUUAGAGUCUAUGAGUAGCCUUUGUGUUGCAGUUACAAAUCUUCAUCAUGUAGAAUGUUAGCAAAUUAUAGCUCCAUGUUUCAAAUCCAACUACCACCUGCUUUUCUGCAAAUAAACUUUUAUUGAAACACUACCCAACCGUUCAUUGCUGCAUUGUCUGUUGUCUGGGGCUCCUUUCAUUACAUAGCAGAGUUGAAAUAGAGGUAGUUAUCCUACCAAGCUUAAGAUAUUUGCUGUCUGGCCCUUUACAAAAAACAAAAAAUAAACAAACAAAAAAAGCAAAACAAAACAAACUAAAAACAAGCUUGCCAACUCUCAAUCUAGGAGAAGGAAAUUUCUAUUAUAAAGUCUACAGGUGAGUUUACUCUUAAGUCAGCCCAUUCUCCUAGGAUACCUUGAUAAUACUGUCACAAUGAAUUGCUCAAAAGUAGCAACAUGGUUUUGCUAUCGUAUAUCAUUUUGAUUGUGAGUUUUUACCCCAUUGGGUUAACAAAAAUAUUGUUCUGUAAAAUAGAAUUAGGAAACACUUUAGAUAACACGGUGUGAGAGCCAGUGGUGGGAUUUGCACACAGUGAGACCUGGGAAGGCCAAGAGGCUAAUCAAAUGAGGGAGGGGUCGAAACUGAGUUUAUCUCCUCGGUACAUAUAUUUCACAGCUGUACUGCUGAGACAGAUGGCUUGGAAUGCCACGGGAAGGCUACGCCAAACAAAAAUGAGAGCAUGAGGAAAGUUUCCUAGAGAAAAAUAUUUUUCCUUACAAAUUUGAAAUAUUUUCCCUUCUAUGUUAUAUUCUCUUUUUCUCCUUUUGAAAUAGCAAAGCUUCAUUCUUUGCCAAAAGUUUGUUCUUCCUUUCAAUUUCUGCCCAAAGGAAAAUAAAUUUCUUCACCUGAUUCACGUGGAUCAUUUGAUAAGCAUAUUGAGCUUGUCAAAAGAAGUUGAAAUAGAUUUUUUUAGCAGAUGAAAAUAGUAAAAUUGCCAAAUUCAAAUUAAUUUUUUCAUUAAUUAAAGGCAGGGACAUAAAUGAGCAGAACAGUUUUAAAGCAACAGAAAUGUUCUUGGCCUGUGAACUGUAGUACAUUUUUUGUCGUCAUGAUAGGAAUUGAGAUCCAGUUAGUAGUUUUGUGAUCUAGAAAAACCAGGUCUACUUUUUAGGGAGUGGGGAAGGUUGUGUCAAUCAGCAGAAUUUUCAAAUAAGGAAAGUAAUCCUGGUCUGAAGGGACUAAACUGAGUUAUCUAGUCCAUCUAAGUGUGUAUGUGUGUCUGACAGAGAGAGAGAGAGAGAGAGAGAGAGAGAGAGAGAGAGAGAGACAGACAGACAGACAGUUACAGAGAGACAGAGACAGAGAUAGGAAGAGAGAGAGACAGACAGAGACAGGAAGAGACAGAGAGACAGACAGUGACAGAGAGACAAAGAGAAAGAGAGAGACAGAGACAGAGACAAAGACAGAGAGACAGAGAGAAUGAAUGAGGAGGGGUUGUCCUUGAAAUUUAUGCUCUAUGAUUGCCAAAAUCUCACCUGAGAAUUUCACGGAGGCCUGAGAUAGAGAAGGAAGCGAAAGUAAAAUUAACUAUUUCUGCUACCAUUUAAAACUCACCCUAAGAAAAAAGCCUUGCAGGGUAAAGAAUUCAAACUAAAUGAGGCUCCUGGUUUUCUGUGGGCUUCAGUGAUUCAAAUCAGCUCCAGAGCUACCAUGCAGCAGUGACUACUUCAGGUUGGCAAAAGGUAAAACCCUGCUGUCCACAUGGAACCUGGUCAUUAGCAAGGCUCUCUUUAAAGCGCUAGAGCCACUUUCAUUUCUUAAAAAUAUUCCCAGCAUGUUAAAAAGUGAAGAAAUACUGAGAGUUACAAAUAUUUUGGUGCAUUUUAAAAUGGACUAUGUUUGAAAAUUGGUAAUUUUAACAUACACAUUCAAAUGGGGACAGUGUAAUUACUUUGCUUUUCAAAUGAUUCACAACAUAGAUAGAUAGAUGAGAACAUGAUGUUGGGUGUGCUGCAGGCAGUGGUACCCAAACUUAAGGUGGUAGGAAGGAUGAAUCUCAGCCCUAUGAGUGAAUGUUGAUGGGCAUAUAAUCUCAUUUGGAAAUGGUGCUGAACAUUGAUAUCUGAGGCACUGUCUAAGCCAGAAGGCUGACCUGUGAGACUCCCAUGCCUUCUUUCCCCCAGCUUUCUGUCCAUCCUUACUGAGACUGGACUAUUAGGAUGCCACUAUGACUGGGAGGAGAAGCUGGGAGGAGAAAGGUUAGAGGUGACAGCCAAGUGCAUUUUAUGCUCCUUCUUCAAAUAGUUUUUCAAGUGCUUGAUAUGUGCAGAGGUCAGAAGAUAAUGUCAUGGUUAAACUCACACGCAGAGCUUGAAUCUUGCAGUUUUUCCCUACUCGAGUCAUAGAGUUCUCUAAGCCUUCUUUUUUCAUCAAGGGUCUCAUUGAGAGGCACUGGUUGCUAUGAAGAUUUAAAAGGACUUUCCCAGUAGUUAUAAAAUUAUCAGAAGUGUUUUCUCGUCCAGUGAAUAAGCAAUACAAAAGUCUUGCCUUUAGGGAACUUAAAUUCCAUCUUCUUUACUGUAUUUUGUUUUCUAUCUUGCGCACUGCAAUCUGCUCAACCUCUAACAACUGCCUUGCAAUGUCUAAAGGUAUUUGGUAAAAUGUAGGUAAAAGUUACUCAGUGAUGAACAAGGAAAAGUUCAGCUGAAUUAAGGAAAUUCUUAAAAGUUCAUUUACUCAAGUACUCGAUGAGCAGUAAUAUAUGUAAGGCACUGUGCAGAGGUUGCCAUAUAGUAGUGAACAAAUGCAGGUAGGAAAUGUAUUGGAUUCAUAAAUUGUUUUGCAUACUGUAAUCCAAACAACUAGCACACAGAUCUAUAAUGACAGCUUACCAGUACCCCAGUCUGUACUUUCUUCCACUCCUCCCAGAGUAAAUACUAUUUCAAUUUCUAAAAUCACAGAUGACUUUCACCUGUUAUAUUUUACUCAAUUAUCUUUGUGAGAUCCAUUUUUUUUUUUUUUGUACCAGGAUCGAAACUCACAUUCUUGUACUUGCCAGGCAGGUGCUUACACCACUGAGCUACAUCCCCAGGCCAAGAUUCAUCCUUUUGUGUGUGUGUGUGUGGGGGGGGGUGUAUAGCUGUAUUUGUUCAUUUUCAUUCUGGUGUAUUUAUUUCAACAUAUGAAUAUACACUGAUUUUUAUGUCCAUUGCAUUAUUAAUAGAUAUCUGGGUUGUUUUCAGUUUGGGACUAUUAUAAAUGCUGGCAGUUAACAUUCAUACCUUUGCCAUUAAUUAACUAUAUGCCUACCUUUCUGCUGCAUACACACUUAGGAGUAGAAUUGCUGAAUGUAAAGGAUGAAUAUGUUCAGUUUUGCUGGGUAGUGUUAUGGUUGAUACAUUGUGUCAACUUGAGCAGUUUAGAAGUUUAACUAAGAGACUCAUCAGGGAGCCAGUUUACCUAGUAAACAUUCUAAUUAUAUGCAAGAGAAGGGCAAGGAGAUUUUGUGAGUGCUAUACCAGUGUUGGAAGUGAGGGUGGUGGUGGCCUAUGUACAAUAUAAAGCAAGUGAAAAUGUUUGUUCUCCCCAACUUUUUCUCUGGCUGCUUUUGCUGGCUGCUACCUUUAAGUGUUACCUCUGCGCCAUCCACCCUGCCUUGGAGCCAGGUGAUUAUGGACUGAAACCUCCACGAGCUGUAAGCCAAAUAAACCUUCCCUUCCUUCAUUUUGGGUGUUGAGUAUUUUGUCUCAGCAAUGAGAGAAAAGUAACCAAGACAGUAUCAAACAGCUUUAUAAAGCAGUUGUAAUAAUGUACUAUCUAAGCAGCAGACUAUGAAGAUUCUGGUUCCCCAUCUUGUCUUUAUUUCAAUUUUAGCCAUUUAGAGAGUACAGUAUGCUGUGGUUUCUACAGUAUGAUUUUAAUCCAUACUUCUCAAAUGACUGAUGCCUUUUCAUGUACUUAUUUUCUGUUUGAGUGUGUUCACUUAUGCAGCAUCCAUUCUAAUCCUUGCCCAUUUUUCUACUAUUUUAUAUUGAUUUGAAAGAAUGUUUUAUAUAUUUCAAAUAAGAGUGCUUUUACAGAUGAAAAUCUCUUCUAUUAGUCUAUGACUUUCAUUUAAAUGGUUUUGAAGAACUGAAGUUGUUAAUUUUAAUGUAGCCCAAUAUUUCUCCUCAUUAUUUUGGGUUAUUACUGUACUUUUUAUUUCUUAAGAAAACUUUAUCUGAGUCAUUUCUUAUGGAGGCAUCUAAAUCAAGGGUAGAAAAUUUUAUGUAUUAUGUUGCCUAGAGUACUAUGCAAUACUCCUAGAAAAGCUAAAGGUGACCCCAAGAAACCAAAAGGGAAAAGGUUUGCUUGUGCUUUCUUUGGAAAGACAUGGUGGAAUACACAAAGGUAAGUCCAGAGGUCCUUGUAAACUGCAUUUCUAUGAUCUAUUGUGAAAGAUGGGUGUCUUAGCUAUUUUUCUCUCAAUGAUGAUACAAAAUAUUUGAUACUCAAAGUUAAAGUGGGGAAAGAUUUAUUUAGCUCACAGUUUGUAGAGAUUUCAGCCCAUAAUUGGCUGGCUCCAAGACAUGGUUCUUUGACCGAGGGGCAUUUCAGAGUAGAAUCAGUUCAUGGCAAGCAGAAGAUAGCAAAAGCAAGCAAGCAAGGGACCUUAACAGUAUCUACCUGCCCCUUUUAUCUUAUCUAGACUAUUUAGAGUGGAUAGCGCUCAAACUCUUAUUCCUAGUGCCCUUGAUCCUUGCAUUGCACCAUGAAUCAGUUUUAGUGUCACGCACUCUAAAUCCUGCCACCUCUGAAAAAGCCCCACCUAUGACUGCCCAGGGGUUUGGGGAGACAUCUAAAAAUAAGACUUAAUAAUGAAAUAUCAUGUUUGGGAAAGACAGAUACAAUUCGAUGAAAUGGCAAGGUGCUCUAUGAACAGGGAAUGAAAGAUUAUAGACCAGCAAAGAGAGUCAACAAGCAUGAUCAUAACACCCCAACACUCAUUCCCCAUCUGGGAUCAAAUCUACAAACGUAGGCGUUUCCACCCAAGAUGUAGACAAAGCAAACAAACAAAAUGAAGAAACAAAAACAACUGGCUGAUAGUAUGCAGAAUUCCUACCAAACACCUAGAAAGAUUUUUUUCACCCAUGAAUAUGAUGAGACAAAAUGUUAUUCACUGGUACGAUUGCCUUCUGUUUUAUGUGGAACUGACCUGGAGAAAGGAGAUAGUCUGGAUAGACCUGAUCUAAUCACAAGAGACCUUUUCAGAGACACUUGCUGGUGGUAGACAUCAGCGUGAUUGCAAAGAUUAGAAGGGCACUGACUUGAAGGAGGAAGCUGAGUGAGAAAGAACUCAGGCAACCUUUUGGAGCUAAGAAAAGCUCCCUGCUAACAGACAUCAAAGAUACAGAGUCCUUAGUCCUACAACCACAGAGACUGACUUCUGCCAAUAAGCUGAGCCAGCCUAGAAAUGAUGUCUCCUCUUGCCUUAGAUGAGAACUUGACUUGGAUGAAGACUUGACUUUUCUCCUUGCAAUACCAUGAACGGAGAACUGAAAGGCUUCUAAGCUAUAGAACUACCAGCAAUUGAACAGAUAUUGUUAUAAGGUGCUAAAUAUGUGGUAAUUUGUUGCACAGCAGCACAAAAUAAAACAUGGGAUUUUUUUUUUGUCUUUUUCAUUUUUAUCUGUACCAGGGAUCGAACUCACGACCGCACACUUGCAAGGCAGGUGCUUAUGCCGCUGAGCUAAAUCUCCAGCCCCAACAUGGGAUAAUUUGAGUGACUGUGAAAAGCCAUAUUAUCUUAAGGCAACAAAUACGAAGGAGAUGUAUUAGAAGAAGGUUUCAAGUUAUGGGAUUGAAAGAUCCUCUAGAAUUCCCUGGAACAAAGAUAGAGGAAUAACAUCAAAACAUGAGAAAAAGAUAAAAAAAAAAGAAAAGAGUCAGUAAAAUCGUAUGACCGUCUCCAUAUGGAUGCAUGUGGGAUGAGCAUAGGAAGUGUCUGGUGUCCUUAUUGAGUUUAAUUUCACAAUUAAAUCAUAGUGUACUACAGUUUCAGAAGUACUAUAAAAGUCAAGUGGCUACUAGGUGGUAUUCACAGGUAUCACAAGCACUCAGAAAAGCCUUCAGAAUUGUCCAUGUUUCUCAACAUUUUUAGAGUAAAAAUACACUCUUUUUUUGCCUUUGCUCCCUGAAUUUAAGAGAUCUGUGUGAGAGGGCGGAUGAAAUAUUGCUGGAAUUUUAAACAAUUUUACUUAUUAAAAAAAAUCUUAAAUUCUCAAAUGUAUAGUCAAAGAAGAGUAAGUCAGCCUCUCCUUGCAUGGGUGGUACAGUGCAAGGGGAGGUGGCACUUUUUGGAGAUGUCACACAGCUGAGGAUAGACCUCAUGACACUGACUUGGAUUCACUUGUUUUUCUAUACAGGGACACCACAUUCUGAAGACAUUCUUAGCUAUGGAAAAGGAACACAAGCUGCCAUGAAAAAAAUAUCCUGAUUAUUCUAAAUUAAAUCUGAGGCCUUUCAAACAAAUGACAGAAUUCUUCAUUGCCAAGUACAUCAAUUGGCCUUUCUGUCGCUGGGACAAAGUACCUGCUAAGCACAACUUAAAGAAGAAAGGAUUUAUUUUUACUCACAGUUUCAGAAGUUUCAAUCCAUAGCCAGCUGACUCCAAGGAAAAAAACAAGGGCAGAAGGACAAGGCGAAGGAAAACUUUUCACUUCUCAGCAGCCAGAAGUGGAGAGAGAGUAGAGGAGCCAAGAAGCCCUGUCUCAAGACUCAAGACUUUUGUGAGGUGAGGUCAAAACUCUGUUGAAUAUUGCUGCCAAGUGCCAUCCAAGGGAAAA
Cavia porcellus (domestic guinea pig) is the source of this 14557-nucleotide long non-coding RNA. RefSeq lists it as uncharacterized. Lineage: Eukaryota; Metazoa; Chordata; Mammalia; Rodentia; Caviidae. The record is from RefSeq and is a predicted model, not a curated record. The transcript is spliced from 2 exons.